UAAAACAUUUAGGCACACAAUUCAAUCCUACCUUUUGGCUUCAAAUGAUAGUUUUGCAAAAGCUAUGUGGGUGGCAAAGCUAGUUAUUGAUGAAACUCAAGUUGAACAGAAGCAGUUAGUUCUAAGCAACUUUACAGACCAACAUGUGUAGAAGACUAGUUCAGUUGACACGAUAAAAGGGAAAGAGCCAAAGGUAGUGAAUCAAUUUAGAAAUAAAUUUGAAAUUCUUACAAUUUUACACU
Molecule: long non-coding RNA, 242 nt
Filed under: Durio zibethinus
Lineage: Eukaryota; Viridiplantae; Streptophyta; Magnoliopsida; Malvales; Malvaceae
Description: long non-coding RNA (DZIB_LNC001096)
Source: RNAcentral